UGACUCAUCUUGUGUAUUCUUGAAGGUC
RNAcentral lists this non-coding RNA (28 nucleotides) under Rattus norvegicus (Norway rat). Lineage: Eukaryota; Metazoa; Chordata; Mammalia; Rodentia; Muridae. The record is from RNAcentral.